AUGGUGGCGGCAGGGACUCGGUUGCCCUGCUCCUGUGUGGGGAACCUCGGAUCUGGAUCGGUGGCUUCAUUGGCAAGGCACGGCCGACUAACAACCGUGCGGGUGGUGGAUCCGGUGCCCCGAUCAUGCGGGCGGCAGGAUCGGUGGUCAUUGGCGGCCGGCGGCGGCUUCUGCGGCGGUCGGUGUGCGCGAUUUGGCGCCUCCCUUCCUCCCCUGUUCGGCGUGCAGGUCAGCCUGGUCGGGCCGCGCUUCCUCUCGGUCUCGGUUCUGUAUAGGAGGUGCUGCUGGUGGUGGAGAUCUAGUUCGGGCGAAAUCCCUGGCCGGCCAUGA
This 330-nucleotide ribosomal RNA is filed under the name Triticum aestivum (bread wheat). RNAcentral describes it as "partial small subunit ribosomal RNA". Lineage: Eukaryota; Viridiplantae; Streptophyta; Magnoliopsida; Poales; Poaceae. The record is from RNAcentral.